RNAcentral lists this ribosomal RNA (182 nucleotides) under Glomus sp. RNAcentral's name for it is "partial large subunit ribosomal RNA". It matches the Rfam family "Eukaryotic large subunit ribosomal RNA", at positions 83 to 261 of the family's 3401-position model. Lineage: Eukaryota; Fungi; Glomeromycota; Glomeromycetes; Glomerales; Glomeraceae. The record is from RNAcentral.
GUAACGGCGAGGGAAGGGGGAAAAGCUCAAAUUUUAAAUCUGCUAGGUUUUACCUGUCAGAAUUGUAAUUUGAAGAAGCGUUUUCCGCGUCUCGGUUGGCCCAAAUCCUUUGGGAUGAGGUAUCAUGGAGGGUGAGAAUCCCGUUCGGUUGACCUCAUGACGUUCUACGAUACGCUUUCUAA